AAGUUAAAAAAUAGAGACAAAUCACUUAUCUAAAACUUACCGAACGAUCGCAGACAAACGUGGAGUGACACGAGGCAAAGUGGGAAAAGAAAAAUCAAGAAGAUGAAAGGUGAAAGAGAGCAAAAAUUCGGCAGCAAUGAAGAGAAAAACGACAAGAAGGUGGAGGGAUUUUGGGGAAAGUAAAAAAAAAGGAAAAAAAAAGAUGAAUAGAAUAUUUGAUAACCACCCCAAUCCACUACUCGGAUUUUUAGUCCAUCUCAAACUCUCCUGGAUGCACGAGCAAAAAUAAUGCCCACACCAAGACUCAAACACAGGACCUCCUUCACACAACACUCCACUUAUUCACCAGACCAGCAGACCCAUUCUGUUAAUUAUUU
RNAcentral lists this long non-coding RNA (377 nucleotides) under Gossypium raimondii (Peruvian cotton). Its description in RNAcentral is "long non-coding RNA (GRAI_LNC001918)". Lineage: Eukaryota; Viridiplantae; Streptophyta; Magnoliopsida; Malvales; Malvaceae. The record is from RNAcentral.